AAUCAAGUUUAUGACUUGGUAAUCCCCGAUAAAUACGUCUCUCGUCUUCUCUCAUUCUCUAUCCUCUCUCUUUCUCUCUCGCUACUCUCUCCUUUUCUCUCUCGGUUCUUGGCUGAAUUCGAGAAAUUAAUUGAAGAAAAUUCGAAGGGGUUUGAAGAAGUGAGGUAUAUGAAACAAAUUUGAGGUUGGAAUUGCAAAUCCCCAAUUCGAUUUAUUGGCAGAAUUAGGGCUGUGUGAAGGAGGCUCUAUCAAGGGGCUAUUAUGAUCAGAUCGCCUCCGGUGGUGGUCGCAUCAGAUGAUUGGCGGUGGUGGCCGGAAUCCGACGAAGAAGACAAGCUGUCUUAGAAUCGGAUUUCAGCUUUUGGUCCUUCGAAGAAUUAAUUGCUCGGAGGCCUUAGAGGUUGAAUAUUGACGAUCAGGACACACGGUUAGAAACCUUGAGAUGUUAGCCUUCCAUUGGUGUUGGAGCUCGGUAGUAUUUAAUCGGCGGUGGUUGCCGGAAUUGGGCAAGAAGUUCAGCCCCCUCGCCGGAACCUUGAAGGAAAUAGUAUUUGCUGCCGCACCUGUUUUCGGAGCAGAAUUUGGAGGGUUUGGAGUGAGAAUUUGGGAAUCAUUCCUUCACAAAACUCGUAGAGGACCUCGAAAACUAUUGGUGUCGAGCGUACUAAAGCUCUCAUUCAAGACUUGAGCAUGACUCAAGAGUAAGGUGUUCUUAUAGCACUUGCAUUGGACUUCAGUAUCAGGUGCAUUAGUACACGAUUAUGUUGAUGGCUCUUAGGAGUAGAAGUUAUUCAGAGAUUUGAGAGAGUUCAAUCCAGUGUUGUAUUUAAGAAUGAUUGUAAUUCGAGAACUAUGAAUACAAGAUUAGUUGUGGUAUUUGGUUGUCACGUGUAUUUGAUUUUAUUGUUAAGAAAUUAAGUAAGAGACAUUAUAUUUAUU
Molecule: non-coding RNA, 939 nt
Organism: Erythranthe guttata (spotted monkey flower)
Lineage: Eukaryota; Viridiplantae; Streptophyta; Magnoliopsida; Lamiales; Phrymaceae
Source: RefSeq, a predicted model, not a curated record